Molecule: microRNA precursor, 207 nt
Organism: Oryza sativa Indica Group (long-grained rice)
Lineage: Eukaryota; Viridiplantae; Streptophyta; Magnoliopsida; Poales; Poaceae
Rfam family: MIR812 microRNA precursor family
Source: Rfam
AAAGACUGAAUUCUUUGGUUUUCGUAUCCAACGUUUGACCGUCCGUCUUAUAUGAAUUUUUUUUAUGAUUAGUAUUUUCAUUAUUAUUAGAUAAUAAAACAUGAAUAAUACUUUAUGCAUGACUUGUCUUCUAAAUUUUUUUUAUAAUUUUUUCAAAUAAGACGAACGGUCAAAUGUUAGACACGAAAACCCAGGAAUUGAGUUUUU